UGGGGACCACACUCUGCUGCUGAUGUUAUCAAAUGUCAAGCAGAAAUGGAGCCCCAGUAUGAGCCCUCCACAUUCUCUGCAAGCCACAUGCAAGUGGGAAAAUUAAAGACAACAAAUGACCUUGGACACCUAAUGAGCUGCCUUCCUCCUUGGUUGGUUCCCUGUUAAUUUUACUCAUUACAUCACUCCUACAGAUUGGUCUCUUAUUGCACAAGCCACACAGCUUCCUGUCCAUUGGGAAAUGACUUGGCCAGCUGCCUGAUUCACCCUUUUCCUGACCCAGCUGCACUGACCUUCCCACUCUGGGUGUGGAAUUAUAAUUUUUAUUAUGUUUUACAUGAUUAUAUAUUUUUAAUUUCCCACUCUCUGUGAGUUUUAUUUCCACACAGCCACUGUUCUCUGGAGCUGCCCCAUUCUGGCUCUUUAUUUCUGGUUGUCAGCAGGGUUUAGUGUCAGUGGUGAGACUGCAAUUGGUAAUUGGUAUCAGUGUGGUGUUGCCAAACUGGCCUCACAGCACCACCAUUUGUGUCAGAUGCUCUGCCUUGGGAUUUCAGAGCACCAGAAUUUGCUGAGGUCUGACCUGGAGCCGCUGGAGUGUUGAAGGAGUUCAGUUUGGUUUCCUGAGAAUUCUGCUGCUGCUGAAGGGCCUUACGACUCUGUCAGACCAAACACUGUCUAGAAGCAGAGUGCCCAAGGCGAGAGCAGCAGAUGUUCAAGGUGUGAGUUAUCUGUGCUAGCUGAGUGUCACUAAACCAGUGAUGGCAAAUCCCUUCAGCACAUCAGUAACACACACGAGCCAAGAGCUGCUGGCAAGAGAGGCUCAUCUAGAGGACAAGCAAUGACCAAGCACCAGAGGAAACCAGGAAUUGUAGAACUGCGCUGGGAAUGAGGCCUUUGUUGGUGCUGGAAGUUGUGCCGGGUCGUUGCAGCCCCUUUGCUGCACGGCCUGGUUAUGCAAAGCUCUCACUGCUGCUGUUCAGCCCCUUUGCUGCCUCUUCAUUGGUGAAGCCAUCACUGCCUGUGAACCCAUCUAUUUAAUAAAACGUGCCCUUGCUGGGGCUUUGAGGCUCAA
Colius striatus (speckled mousebird) is the source of this 1072-nucleotide long non-coding RNA. RefSeq lists it as uncharacterized. NCBI's taxonomy places the organism in Eukaryota, Metazoa, Chordata, Aves, Coliiformes, Coliidae. The transcript is spliced from 2 exons. The record is from RefSeq and is a predicted model, not a curated record.